This 481-nucleotide ribosomal RNA is filed under the name uncultured bacterium. RNAcentral describes it as "partial 16S ribosomal RNA". It matches the Rfam family "Bacterial small subunit ribosomal RNA", at positions 28 to 507 of the family's 1533-position model. The record is from RNAcentral.
GACGAACGUUGGCGGCGUGCUUAAUACAUGCAAGUCAACUGAAUCAGUGGUAGCAAUAUCGCUGUGGAGGUGGCGCACGGGUGAGUAACACGUAGGUAAUCUGCCUUCAGGUCUGGCAUAACUCCGGGAAACCGGGGCUAAUAGCAGAUGAUGCAGCGGCUCGACAUCGAGACAGUUGUUAAAGCUAUGGCGCCUUAAGAUGAGCCUGCGUCUGAUUAGCUAGUUGGCGGGGUAACGGCCCACCAAGGCAACGAUCAGUAGCUGGUCUGAGAGGAUGAUCAGCAACACUGGAACUGAGACACGGUCCAGACUCCUACGGGAGGCAGCAGUAAGGAAUAUUGCUCAAUGGGAGAAAUCCUGAAGCAGCAACGCCGCGUGAGGGACGAAGGGCUUUUGCUUGUAAACCUCUGUAGUGAGAGAAAAAAAUCACAAUCUUUGGGACAUGAUGGUAUCUCAAAAGUAAGCCCCGGCUAACUACGUG